AUUGAACGCUGGCGGAAUGCUUUACACAUGCAAGUCGAACGGCAGCACGGACUUCGGUCUGGUGGCGAGUGGCGAACGGGUGAGUAAUGUAUCGGAACGUGCCCAGUCGUGGGGGAUAACGUAGGGAAAAUUACGCUAAUACCGCAUACGAUCUAUGGAUGAAAGCGGGGGAUGGCAAGACCUCGCGCGAGUGGAGCGGCCGAUAUCAGAUUAGGUAGUUGGUGGGGUAAAGGCCCACCAAACCAACGAUCUGUAGCUGGUCUGAGAGGACGACCAGCCACACUGGAACUGAGACACGGUCCAGACUCCUACGGUAGGCAGCAGUGGGGAAUUUUGGACAAUGGGCGAAAGCCUGAUCCAGCCAUUCCGCGUGCAGGAUGAAGGCCCUCGGGUUGUAAACUGCUUUUGUACAGAACGAAAAGGUUUCUACUAAUACUAGGAGCUCAUGACGGUACUGUAAGAAUUAGCACCGGCUAACUCCGUGCCAGCAGCCGCCGUAA
This 500-nucleotide ribosomal RNA is filed under the name uncultured bacterium. RNAcentral describes it as "partial 16S ribosomal RNA". It matches the Rfam family "Bacterial small subunit ribosomal RNA", at positions 30 to 523 of the family's 1533-position model. The record is from RNAcentral.